UGGAAAACAUUUGCUGUGUCUCUCCUAGC
RNAcentral lists this non-coding RNA (29 nucleotides) under Rattus norvegicus (Norway rat). Lineage: Eukaryota; Metazoa; Chordata; Mammalia; Rodentia; Muridae. The record is from RNAcentral.